AUACGGAGGGGGUUAGCGUUGUUCGGAAUUACGGGGCGUAAAGCGCACGUAGGCGGACUGGAAAGUUGGGGGUGAAAUCCCGGGGCUCAACCCCGGAACUGCCUCCAAAACUUCCAAUCUAGAGAUCGAGAGAGGUGAGUGGAAUUCCAAGUGUAGAGGUGAAAUUCGUAGAUAUUUGGAGGAACACCAGUGGCGAAGGCGGCUCACUGGCUCGAUACUGACGCUGAGGUGCGAAAGCGUGGGGAGCAAACAGGAUUAGAAACCCUUGUAGUCC
This 274-nucleotide ribosomal RNA is filed under the name uncultured bacterium. Its description in RNAcentral is "partial 16S ribosomal RNA". It matches the Rfam family "Bacterial small subunit ribosomal RNA", at positions 523 to 796 of the family's 1533-position model. The record is from RNAcentral.